RNAcentral lists this ribosomal RNA (253 nucleotides) under uncultured prokaryote. Its description in RNAcentral is "partial 16S ribosomal RNA". It matches the Rfam family "Bacterial small subunit ribosomal RNA", at positions 524 to 776 of the family's 1533-position model. The record is from RNAcentral.
UACGUAGGUGGCGAGCGUUGUCCGGAUUUAUUGGGUUUAAAGGGUGCGUAGGCGGCCCUGUAAGUCAGCGGUGAAAUACGGCAGCUCAACUGUCGAGGUGCCGUUGAUACUGCGGGGCUUGAGUGUUGAUGAGGCAGGCGGAAUUGACGGUGUAGCGGUGAAAUGCUUAGAUAUCGUCAAGAACACCUAUAGCGAAGGCAGCUUACUAGGCUGUAACUGACGCUGAGGCACGAAAGUGUGGGGAUCAAACAGG